CAGCAGCCGCGGGAAUACAGAGGGUGCAAGCGUUAAUCGGAAUUACUGGGCGUAAAGCGCGCGUAGGUGGUUUGUUAAGUUGGAUGUGAAAUCCCCGGGCUCAACCUGGGAACUGCAUCCAAAACUGGCAAGCUAGAGUAUGGUAGAGGGUGGUGGAAUUUCCUGUGUAGCGGUGAAAUGCGUAGAUAUAGGAAGGAACACCAGUGGCGAAGGCGACCACCUGGACUGAUACUGACACUGAGGUGCGAAAGCGUGGGGAGCAAACAGGAUUAGAUACCCCGGUAGUCCCUGUCUCUUAUAA
Molecule: ribosomal RNA, 301 nt
Filed under: uncultured bacterium
Lineage: Bacteria
Description: partial 16S ribosomal RNA
Rfam family: Bacterial small subunit ribosomal RNA
Source: RNAcentral